This 2173-nucleotide ribosomal RNA is filed under the name Actinomycetes bacterium. The record is from RNAcentral. Lineage: Bacteria; Bacillati; Actinomycetota; Actinomycetes.
GAAAGGUGAAAAGUACCCCGGAAGGGGAGUGAAAUAGCACCUGAAACCGUGUGCUUACAAGCGGUCGGAGCGGACUUGUUCCGUGACGGCGUGCCUUUUGCAUAAUGAGCCAGCGAGUUAGUCUUCCACGGCAAGGUUAAGGAAACGGAGCCGUAGCGAAAGCGAGUCUGAAUAGGGCGAUUCAGUCGUGGGAGCUAGACCCGAAACUGAGUGAUCUACCCAUGGCCAGGUUGAAGCGGGGGUAAGACCCCGUGGAGGACCGAACCCACGUCGGUUGAAAACGGCGGGGAUGAGCUGUGGGUCGGAGUGAAAGGCUAAUCAAACUCAGAGAUAUCUGGUUCUCCCCGAAAUAUAUUUAGGUAUAGCGUCGCGCGUUCAAUAACGGUUGUAGAGCACUGUUUGACCUAGGGGGCCUACCAGCUUACCGAAGCCAGGCAAACUCCGAAUGCCGUUAUUCCAGAGCGCGGCAGUCAGAGUGCGGGGGAUAAGCUUCGUGCUCAAAAGGGAAACAGCCCGGACCGUCGGCUAAGGUCCCUAAUUCCAUGCUAAGUGGGAAACGAUGUCCGAUUGCACAGACAACCAGGAUGUUGGCUUAGAAGCAGCCACCAUUCAAAGAGUGCGUAACAGCUCACUGGUCAAGUGGUCGGGCGCGGACAAUGUAACGGGGCUCAAGCAUGGAACCGAAGCCACGGACUUCACGCUUGCGUGGAGUGGUAGGGGAGCGUUCCCAGGGCGGUGAAGCGGCGGCGUGAGCCUUGCCGUGGAGCGCUGGGAAGUGAGAAUGCUGGCACGAGUAACGAAAGGCGAGUGAAAAACUCGCCCGCCGAAUGCCCAAGGGUUCCUGAGUAAAGCUAAUCUGCUCAGGGUUAGUCGGGACCUAAGCCGAGGCCGCAAGGCGUAGGCGAUGGACAACAGGUUGAUAUUCCUGUACCACGUCCCAAUCGCUAUUACCGAUGGGGGGACGGGGUAGGCUAGGGCAACCCAGGCGAUGGUCGACCUGGGACAACCGCGUAGGGUGGCUGGUAGGGAAAUCCGCCGGCCGUUAAGCCUGAGACGGGACGUCGAGGCCCCUUGGGGCCGAAGUGCUUGAAGCCAUGCCUCCUAGAAAAUCCCCUAGGGAGAUUGGUCGUGCCCGUACCAAAACCGACACAGGUGGGCAGGUAGAGAAUACCAAGGCGAUCGGAAGAACCCUCGUUAAGGAACUCGGCAAAAUCGCCCCGUAACUUCGGGAGAAGGGGCGCCCCGGUAGAGUGAAAGCCCCUCGCGGGCUCGAGCUCGAUGGGGCCGCAGUGAAACGGCCCAAGCGACUGUUUACCAAAAACACAGGUCUCUGCGAAGUCGUAAGACGACGUAUAGGGGCUGACGCCUGCCCGGUGCCGGAAGGUCACGAGGAGAGGUUAGUCUUCGGGCGAAGCCUUGAAUCCAAGCCCCGGUAAACGGCGGCCGUAACUAUAACGGUCCUAAGGUAGCGAAAUUCCUUGUCGGGUAAGUUCCGACCUGCACGAAUGGCGUAACGACUUGGGCGCUGUCUCAACGAGGGAUCCGGUGAAANNGUUGUCCAGGAUAGGUGGGAGACUUUGAAGCGGAGACGCCAGUCUUCGUGGAGUCACCCUUGGGAUACCACCCUUCGUGUUCUGGGCUUCUAACCCGCUGCCGUAAUCCGGGGCGGGAACAGCGUCAGGUGGGUAGUUUGNNUCCUAAAAUGUAACGGAGGCGCGCAAAGGUUCCCUCAGCACGGUUGGAAAUCGUGCGUAGAGUGCAAAGGCAUAAGGGAGCUUGACUGCGAGACGUACAUGUCGAGCAGGCGCGAAAGCGGGCCUUAGUGAUCCGGUGGUAACUAGUGGACGUGCCAUCGCUCAACGGAUAAAAGNNGAGACAGUUCGGUCCCUAUCCACCAUGGGCGCUGGAGCUUUGAGAGGAGUCGUCUCUAGUACGAGAGGACCGAGACGAACAGACCUCUGGUGUAUCAGUCGUCGUGCCAACGGCGCUGCUGAUUAGCUACGUCUGGAUGGGAUAACCGCUGAAAGCAUCUAAGCGGGAAGCCCACCUCGAGAUGAGAGCUCCCAUCCCCUAGAGGGAGUAAGGGCGGUCGGAGACUACGACCUUGAUAGGCGGNNCUUGACAGUUCGGCGGUCAUACCGGCGGGGAAACACCUCUUCCCAUUCCGAACAGA